UUGCUGAACAGGUGAUGAGAGAAAAUAUGAUGAGAUGAGACUCCCAGUAAUGCUUUAUAUAGUAUUGGUGACACCUCCCCCAUUGCACAAUAUACCAGUGUGUGUUUGUGUGUGUGUCACUGUGUGUUUAUUGGUAUGUGAUGGUCUAUACAUGCAGAAUGGGUCCUGCCUUGACUUGCAUCUUCUGUAUCACCGCUCCUUUUCGUCCGUCUCUUCAGUUUCACUUUUGAAGAAAUAGUAUUUGACAGUUUCACUUUACAGGAAACACCAACAUCUGUUAUUGUAGGUGCCUACUGUGAGCGAAACAGUACAAAACAGUUGGAAACUGAUUGAAGGCCUCCUAAGAAAUAGUGUUUUGGUCAACUUAAUUUGAUAUAUUUAGAUAAAUCUAUGAUGAAAGCAUAACAAAAAUAUUCAAAAUAAAUCAUGAUUGAAUCAGGUGCCUUGUGCAUUCAAAUGACAUCAAAUAUAGGACGAAACUGACAACUGAACACCACAACACGCAUCUCCACAUUCUGAGAGUUUGUUCCAAUCUAUAGUAUAAAAAAAUCAUCUCCAUGACAGACUACAGUCAUUUAAUCUAACAAUACACUGUACAGUGACUGCAGCCCACAAUCACACAUACAUAUAUGAGAAGAGGGGAAACUGUUGUAGUUUAACGUGGCGCCUAUCUCAUCUGUACAGUGACGAAUAACAAUCAGAGAGAUUGUUGGUGUACAUCGAUCCAAAUGUCAUGCUUUGAAACCUUGUGAAGUCCCCCAUGACAUGUUAUAACCAGUCCACCCUGCCUCUCUGUCCCACUAUAACCAGUCCACCCUGCCUCUCUGUCCCACUAUAACCAGUCCACCCUGCCUCUCUGUCCCACUAUAACCAGUCCACCCUGCCUCUAUGUCCCACUAUAACCAGUCCACCCUGCCUCUAUGUCCCACUAUAACCAGUCCACUCUGCCUCUAUGUCCCACUAUAACCAGUCCACCCUGCCUCUAUGUCCCACUAUAACCAGUCCACCCUGCCUCUCUGUCCCACUAUAACCAGUCAACCUGCCUCUAUGUCCCACUAUAAACCAGUCCACCCUGCCUCUAUGUCCCACUAUAACCAGUCCACUCUGCCUCUAUGUCCCACUAUAACCAGUCCACCCUGCCUCUAUGUCCCACUAUAACCAGUCCACCCUGCCUCUCUGUCCCACUAUAACCAGUCCACCCUGCCUCUAUGUCCCACUAUAACAGUCCACCCUGCCUCUCUGUCCCACUAUAACCAGUCCACUCUGCCUCUAUGUCCCACCUAUACACCAGUCCACC
This 1297-nucleotide long non-coding RNA is filed under the name Sparus aurata (gilthead seabream). RNAcentral's name for it is "lncRNA (ENSSAUG00010012351.1)". Lineage: Eukaryota; Metazoa; Chordata; Actinopteri; Spariformes; Sparidae. The record is from RNAcentral.